Molecule: long non-coding RNA, 251 nt
Filed under: Manihot esculenta (cassava)
Lineage: Eukaryota; Viridiplantae; Streptophyta; Magnoliopsida; Malpighiales; Euphorbiaceae
Description: long non-coding RNA (MESC_LNC007292)
Source: RNAcentral
CUUUCACCUUUUCCAUGAAAAACGAUUUGCGUCAAUUGAAUAUCGAUAAAAAAGAAAAUGUUGUUGUUCCUAUUAAGAGUUACAGAGAUAUUCCAAUCGUCACUUAUGAUUUUUGUAUGGUGGGGAUGUUUCUCGCAUACAAUCCAAUCAAUUUUUAGAAUAGGCAGACCUCUUUGACAGAUUUAUGGCAUGCUUUAGAGGGGGUAUCUAUUAUGGAAUUGGAGGCAAAAAAAAUAUUUGUUUCAGUUUUU